CUCGAUCCCCAAAUCAAAUCGCUGCCUGUUUCCUCCACCCAACCCUAACCCCAACCCCUACCUUAGCUAGCUAGCCGCCAUGGCCCCUCCCAUGGCUCUGCUCCACCGUGAUAUUUACAUCUCCGACGACAUGGCGGUGUCCGACCUAGUGUCAACCCGCUGCCCGUGGGUAGGACGAGUUGAUCCACCAAGCCGCCAAGAGAAGAGCGAAGCAGUCGCCGAUUACCUGCGGACCUUCAAGGCGCACGCAGUCGUCGCUGAUCCGCCGUUGCCCUCCUUCCUCCACA
Molecule: long non-coding RNA, 287 nt
Filed under: Hordeum vulgare
Lineage: Eukaryota; Viridiplantae; Streptophyta; Magnoliopsida; Poales; Poaceae
Description: long non-coding RNA (HVUL_LNC002810)
Source: RNAcentral